This is a long non-coding RNA of Chinchilla lanigera (long-tailed chinchilla), 859 nucleotides long. RefSeq lists it as uncharacterized. The record is from RefSeq and is a predicted model, not a curated record. Lineage: Eukaryota; Metazoa; Chordata; Mammalia; Rodentia; Chinchillidae. The transcript has 3 exons.
CAUGAGUUCUGUUUUGACCUCCACUGUUGAUUAGCUGUGCAUUCAGCCCUACAAAGGUCAAAAGCAGAGUGGCCUUGGCUUGACAACUUUUUCUGUGUGCCCUGCUCUAGAUGGAAAACAAAUCAGGCGUCUGGCUCUCAGCCUUCGGGAGCUACAGUCUUUGGAAAUAGAUGUAUAGUCGUGCUUUGUUUUCAUUUUAAAAGCAGAAGAACAGAACAAACUCUCUGAGAUGAGGGCGGGAGUAGGCUGGGAGAGAAUGAAGAGAGGAACCUGAUAACCUUUUAAACAAUCCAGGGACGAAAGGAUUGCUUGAAUCACUCAGAUCAAAGAAGGCUUUCUGGCACAAGUUGGAGUCUGCUGCUUUUGAAAUGGAAGAGGCAAAGGGAGCUUUGACAGAUUUCUCUAAAUGUAGACAACCGCAGGUGUCCGGAGCUCUGCCCACAGGGACCAGGCUGGAAUCCCAGGCCUUUGAGAAGGAAGCACAUCAUGGUGGGGAACGUCUGCCAGAGCACAACUGUUCACCGUAUUGCCAGGGAUGAAACGGAAAGAUGAGAAAGGAGGAAAGGCUCCACAAUCCCCUUCAAGGACAAGUCCCCAGUAAGAACCAGAAGGCUCUUCUCCUAAUUUGUCCGUCUUAUCAUCCUCUCCAAAAACUGUUCUGCCAAUGAAAUGAUCCAGCGUGAAGGACAUCUGUGGAACAGUCUAUGACCAGAGCCCAUGAAAAAUUUCCACUUGUUCCUGCCAGUCCUUGGGUCACAGAGAUGGGUGAGCAGCUGGGCGCCACUGUGUGUCAGAGGGUCUCUGUAACCCACACACGUGCUCACAUCUCCUCACAAGAAUAAAUCUAGCCUUCUUAAAA